This 491-nucleotide ribosomal RNA is filed under the name uncultured bacterium. RNAcentral describes it as "partial 16S ribosomal RNA". It matches the Rfam family "Bacterial small subunit ribosomal RNA", at positions 29 to 507 of the family's 1533-position model. The record is from RNAcentral.
AGUGAACGCUGGCGGUAGGCCUAACACAUGCAAGUCGAACGGCAGCACAGUAAGAGCUUGCUCUUACGGGUGGCGAGUGGCGGACGGGUGAGGAAUACAUCGGAAUCUACUUUUUCGUGGGGGAUAACGUAGGGAAACUUACGCUAAUACCGCAUACGACCUACGGGUGAAAGCAGGGGAUCUUCGGACCUUGCGCGAUUGAAUGAGCCGAUGUCGGAUUAGCUAGUUGGCGGGGUAAAGGCCCACCAAGGCGACGAUCCGUAGCUGGUCUGAGAGGAUGAUCAGCCACACUGGAACUGAGACACGGUCCAGACUCCUACGGGAGGCAGCAGUGGGGAAUAUUGGACAUGGGCGCAAGCCUGAUCCAGCCAUACCGCGUGGGUGAAGAAGGCCUUCGGGUUGUAAAGCCCUUUUGUUGGGAAAGAAAAGCAGCAGGUUAAUACCCCGCUGUUCUGACGGUACCCAAAGAAUAAGCACCGGCUAACUUCGUG